UACGUAGGGGGCAGGCGUUGUCCGGAUUUAUUGGGCGUAAAGAGCGUGUAGGCGGCCAGGUAGGUCUGCUGUGAAAACUCGAGGCUUAACCUCGAGCUGUCGGCGGAAACCAUCUGGCUAGAGUCCGGAAGAGGAGAAUGGAAUUCCCGGUGUAGCGGUGAAAUGCGCAGAUAUCGGGAAGAACACCCGUGGCGAAGGCGGUUCUCUGGGACGGUACUGACGCUGAGACGCGAAAGCGUGGGGAGCGAACAGG
This 253-nucleotide ribosomal RNA is filed under the name uncultured bacterium. RNAcentral describes it as "partial 16S ribosomal RNA". It matches the Rfam family "Bacterial small subunit ribosomal RNA", at positions 524 to 776 of the family's 1533-position model. The record is from RNAcentral.